Molecule: long non-coding RNA, 5493 nt
Filed under: Brachypodium distachyon (stiff brome)
Lineage: Eukaryota; Viridiplantae; Streptophyta; Magnoliopsida; Poales; Poaceae
Description: long non-coding RNA (BDIS_LNC002077)
Source: RNAcentral
AUCAAUAAAGCAAGCAAAAUAAUUAGUCUAAUCUCUCAUCCCCUUCCUCUGCGCCUCUCUCUCACCCCGAUCUCCAGCCAUAGGGCGGCGUGGCUACCAGCCUCGCCGUCUAACCUACCACGACUACAACCUCCGUUCCAAUCCACAGCUUCCUGGUUCCCAAGCACGUGACAACUUGGUAUCAGAUUCAUCUUCGAUCCCCGCUGCCGCCAUGAGUCAACCUCCGCCCCCUCAAACCCUCGCCGAGCUCAUCACCAAACAGCAGACAGAUCAUGAUGGUGUGGUGGAGGCCCUCAACAACUUCGCCUCCGACUGGCAACUUGAUGCAGACCAGCGCCGCGCAGAUCGCCAGGCGGACGCUGCCAAGCUCGACGCCUCGAUCAAGCAACUCACCGAGGUCCUGCAGUCCGUUCAGAAACAGGCCGCUGAAAGUGCACAACAGCAGUGCGUGCAACACAUGGCCAUCCAACGCCUCGAGCAGGGCGGCUCGGCACCGCGGUUGGGAGGCCCAGGCAUCAUGCCCACGCCCGGCGACAGGUCCCAGGCGGUGGAUCUGACCCACAACUCUGAGAGCAGCGACCGGCCCCCACGCCUUUACAAAAUCGAUUUUCCCACGUUCGAUGGGGAAAGCGAUCCGCGUCCAUGGCUGGCCUCGGUCAGCGCACACAGGAGUCCGAUAAGACAUGGCUGGCCUCCUACCAUCUCACCGGCAUCGCCGCAUUAUGGUACGGCCACCUUGAGACCAAGAUUGGUCGCCCAUCUUGGGAGACGUUCCGGCAACUCCUCUCCAACCACUUCGGGCCUCCCACACGUGCUAAUCCGUUCGGCGAACUGAUCUCCCUCCGCCGAUCAGGCACGGUGGCAGACUACACCAAGCGCUUCCUCGAGCACCUUUCCUAGAUUACCUCGAUACCCGACUCUGAGGAACGGGACAUCUUCACCAACAACCUGGGCGACCCCAUGAAGACUCAGGUCGAGAUGAUGAAACCAGGCACCUUGGAAGCGGCCAUGGACCUGGCUGUCUCCUUCGUAGCACCUCCACGACGUGUCGGCGGCUACGGCGGCUACGGCGGCCUCCGCGUCCUGGCCGGCUCGUCAGCUCCGCGCCCCUGCAGCACUGGUCCCCACCACUGCUGACCCCUCCAGCAUCACUCCAACACAUGUGUUAAAAAAACUAACAGCCGCGAAGAUGGACGAUCGGCGCGCGAAGGGGCUCUGCUUUAAUUGCGACGAGAAGUUCGUCUGUGGCCAUCGCUGCAAACAACUCUUCUACAUCCAGUCCACGGACGACGACACCGACGACUUUGAGGAUUGCGACGACGACAUUCAAAUCUCCCUCCUCGCGGUCACGGGCGUCCACACUAGUGACACCAUGCAGGUCCCCGUCCGCAUUGGUGAUCGCAAGCUCAUCGCACUAAUCGACUCGGGAAAGCACCCACAACUUCAUCAAUGAGGACAUCGCUGCCACCGUGGGCGCCAAUUUCUCGUCAGGCCGUCGCCUUCGUGUCACGGUCGCCAACGGCGACCACGUCACCUGUCGCGGCCUCCUACGGCACGCUGCCAUCGUCAUCGACAAAGAGCACUUGGUCGCUGACCUCCACGCCAUCCCAUUGGGUGGUUUUGACGUCGUACUGGGCACACGUUUCCUCAAGACACUCGGGCCAAUCCUUUGGGAUUUCUCCCGUCUCUGGAUGUCUUUUUGGCAUGCUGACCACCGUGUCGAGUGGUACGGACUGGCCGCUCCAGGACGCCCAACUCACAUCCACGUGUGCGCCGGUCGUGAGCUCCUCGACAGCCUCCUCGCCGACUACACCGAGAUCUUUGGUGACCCCACGGGCCUGCCGCCGCCGCGAGUCCAAGACCACCGCAUCCGAUUGGAGGCCGGUUCCCUGCCAGUGGCUGUCCGGCCGUAUCGCUAUCCAGCACUCCAGAAGGACGAGCUCAAGAGGCAAUGCGUUGAGAUGCUGGAACGCGGUCUCAUUCGUCGCAGCACAUCGGCCUUCUCCUCCCCGGUUCUGCUGGUGAAGAAACGUGACGGCACUUGGCGCUUCUCCGUUGAUUACCGAGCUCUUAAUGGCAUCACCAUCAAGGACAAGUUUCCCAUUCCCGUUGUCGACGAGCUGAAGGGCGCCCGCUUCUUCACAAAGCGGGACCUGCGGUCGGGUUACCACCAAGUACGCAUGGCCCCAGAGGACAUCCACAAGACGGUGUUUCGUACCCAUGAAGGGCUCUUCGAGUUCAUGGUCAUGGCGUUUGGUCCGACGAAUGCUCCAGCAACGUUCCAGGCGUUGAUGAACGAUGUGCUCCGUCCUUUCUUACGCCGCUUUGUGCUCGUAUUUUUUGAUGACAUUUUGAUCUACAACUCCUCCUGGUCGGACCACCUUCGUCAUGACAAGACCGUCCUGGAGGCCUUGAGGACUCAUCGACUCUUCCUAAAGCGCUCCAGGUGCUCAUUUGGUGAGGAAUCAGUGGCGUACCUCGGUCACGUGAUUACGGUUGACGGCGUCGCCAUGGACAGCGCCAAGGUAUUGGCCGUCGUCGAUUGGCCGCAGCCCAGGUCAGUACGUGCCGUGCGCGGCUUCUUGGGCCUCGCCGGCUACUACCGCAAGUUCAUCCGUGACUUCGGCAUCAUCGCGGCACCACUCACGGCGUUGCUUAGAAAAGAGGGCUUCCUUCGCUCUCUUCGCUCUCAAGACCGCCCUCACCACGGCGCCGGUUCUGCAUCUCCUUGACUUCACCAAAGCCUUCACGGUGGAGUGCGAUGCGUCCGGGUCCGGUUUCGGCGCGGUGCUACACCAGGUUGCAGGUCCGAUUCCCUAUUUCAGCCAGGCUAUCGCUCCUCGUCACGCCUCCCUUGCGGCAUACGAGGGUGAGCUGAUUGGUCUUGUCCAGGCAGUGCGGCACUAGAGGCCGUACCUCUGGGGGCGCUCUUUCAUCGUCAAGACGGACCACUAUAGCCUCAAGUUCUUGCUCGACCAGCACCUGGCAACCAUCCCCCAACACCACUGGGUGGGCAAGCUCCUGGGGUUCGACUUCACUGUGGAAUACAAGCCGGGCCGCCAGAAUAUUGUGGCCGACGCUCUCUCUCGCCGGGCCACGCCUGUGCCAUCACGGGACCGGCUUUUGACCUCUUCGACGCCCUCUGGCAGGCGGCACAAUCUGAUCCAGCUUUGGUGGCACUCCGUGAGCAGCUCCAUUCGGGCGAGCUGAGCGCCCCUGGGGCUCUCAGCGACGGCAUCGUUACUUUCGAGCACUGGGCCUAUGUACCGCCAUCUUCUCCAUUGAUGGCUGAGGUGCUGGCUGCUGCCCAUGACUCCCACCAUGAGGGCAUCCAGAAGUUGCUACACCAUCUCCGUCGGGAUUUUCACCUCCCUCGGGCCCGCGUGGUGCUCUAGGAUUAUAUCCGCGCAUGUGAGGUGUGCCAACGUAACAAAACCGAGCAGCUUCAUCCAGUCGGUAUACUUCAGCCCUUGACAGUCCCUUCCCGCAUUUGGGAGGAUAUUUCCAUGGAUUUCAUCGAAGGGCUGCCUAAGGUCGGUGGCAAAAGUGUCAUCCUCACCGUCGUCAACCGUUUCUCCAAAUAUGCACACUUCAUACCACUGGCGCAUCCCUAUACAGCUGAGACGGUGGCCAAGGCAUUCUUCACCAGCAUUGUUCGCCUCCAUGGAGUGCCGAUAUCCAUUGUGUCAGAUCGUGAUGUGGUGUUCACCUCGAAUUUUUGGAAGGCCUUAUUCGCAGCUUCGGGCACCCGUCUUCACAUGAGCACGGCUUUCCACCCGCAAUCUGAUGGGCGGGCUGAGGCUGUUAACCGGGUCAUCGCCAUGUACUUACGCUGCCUCACCGGUGAUCGGCCUCGCCAAUGGCUCCAGUGGUUGUCAUGGGCCGAAUACUGCUACAACACAUCCUACCACUCGGCUUUACGGGAUACUCCGUUCCGGGUGGUCUACGGCCGCGAUCCUCCAUCGUUCCGCGAUUACAUUCCAGGGGAGAUUCGUAAUCAAGCGGUGGAGCGCCAGAUUGUUGAUCGUGAUCAGUUCCUCCAGGACAUGCGUGCUCGGCUCCUUCAAGCAGUGCAACAUUACAAGCACUAUUAUGAUGGCAAGCAUCGCCUCUUGUCUUUUGACAUUGGUGAGUGGGCUUGGCUGCGCCUUCACCAUCGGCCAGCAGCGUUUCUGGGUUCUGCAGCCAAGGGCAAGUUGGCUCCUAAAUAUUAUGGCCCUUUCAAGAUCAUCGCCAAGAUUGACUCGGUGGCCUAUCGUCUGGAGCUACCAGCCAGUGCCCGCAUUCACGAUGUAUUUCAUGUGGGUCUGCUCAAGAAGUAUCAUGGGUCGCCGCCGGAAGGACCGCCGGCACUGCCUCCCCUUUUCCACGGCCGUGUGCAGCCAGCGCCCAGCAAAGCCUUGCACGCCCGCCUGUGCAGAGGUCUGCAGCAAGUGUUGAUUCAAUGGGAAGGCCAGUCUGCCGCCAAUGCUUCAUGGGAAGACGUUCCGGCAUUUCGGGCUCGCUAUCCAGGCUUCCAGCUCGAGGACCAGCUGUUUCAUAAUGGAGGGGGAGAUGUCAUGUGGGGGCGUACCUACCAGCGUAGGGCUCGCCCUGCUGCAGAUACUCAGCCCUAGUUUGUGUUUAGUUCAAUUGCUUGCUAGUUAAGUUAAGAAAUAGGAUCUAAGUCAGAAAGGUUUUGUCCCGUAGAAGGUUACCCUGCCGACCUGAUCUAAUUAGAGUUCUUUUCUUCUUUCCCAAGUUGUAAUUGGCUAUUUAUAGCCCACCCUAGUCAAUCAAUAAAGCAAGCAGAAUAAUUAGUCUAAUCUCUCAUCCCCUUCCUCUGCGCCUCUCUCUCACCCCGAUCUCCAGCCAUAGGGCGGCGUGGCUACCAGCCUCGCCGUCUAACCUACCACGACUACAACCUCCGUUCCAAUCCACAGCUUCCUGGUUCCCAAGCACGUGACAGACUGUCUUACAUAUGAAUGUUUCCUCAUGUUCUGGUUUGAAAUAUGAGAGAGCUGAUGCUAUCUUACUUAGGAUUUAGCCCAUUGAUUUCUAGCAUAGCAUCUUCUUCUUUUUAAAUAGUGUGAUGAUUGAUGUGACCUUGACCUAUAUUGUUUCUUUUGUGAUGCGAGCCCAUGUAUUGUAGAUAAUACCAUUAUGCUAAGGUCCCGUUUGGAACGCAGGAAUACAAAACAUAUGAAUAGGAAAAAACAUAGGAACAGGGUAGGAAAUUCACAUGGAAAACAGAGGAUUGAAAACCAUAGGAAAAUUUGACAACAAUGUUUUUGUAAUGCAGGAAUGGGUAAAAUGUAGAAAUGCUUUUUCCAAAACCAUUUGUACACUGCUUUUAUAACUUGAAAUAUAGAAGUGGCCCACAUAUCAUAGAGGAGGCAGAAAGGAACUAAUCGUCAUGUUCGUAUCUUCUGCUUGUUCUCCUAGGCAGCAGCAGGGCAACACGAUCUCCAGUCGAAAUUAAUACAGUACCAUUCAAGGAGACAGAUCAAAAGU